CCUGCGUCCUGUUCUUUUGCUUCUUCUGCCUCAGUCCCUCAGCCUCCAACAUACGAGCACAUAUACUGAGUUGGCCGCAGCAUACAAUCCUCUCAACUCGGAAGCAUUUGUGAGCUCAUGUCAUCCUCACGCAGUUACACAGAUCUGCCAUAGUGUAAAUCAUUU
Molecule: long non-coding RNA, 165 nt
Organism: Pungitius pungitius (ninespine stickleback)
Lineage: Eukaryota; Metazoa; Chordata; Actinopteri; Perciformes; Gasterosteidae
Exons: 3
Source: RefSeq, a predicted model, not a curated record